CCCAGGUGGAUAAUUUGUAUCUGAGCUCAGAAGGUUGAUUGCCAUUAUUCUGAGUCCAGUGGGAAUCCUGCUAGGACCCCUGGAUGAUGUGCCCCCCUGGUAGUCCCUCCCACUCAGCUCUUCCUGGAUUCUCACCAGUGCUCUGGAGUCACUCCACCUUACUGUUUACCACAGGUCAGAAUGGACAAUGAAUAAGCUCAAUGGACUGUCAGCCUCAAUAAUGGCACUGUUAGGAAUUCCAUGACUUCUGAAAAUGAUGUGAUUCCAAUCCAAGGUGUUGUGUAUCCCUACCAUGCAGAAGAAAGGAACGGUCACAUUCUCAGGAAAGUUAUGCAUGGGUACUGCAACUCCCCCCUCACCCAGAUAAAAUUUUCAGGUAAUUAUAUACUUUUGUUGUUGUUAUUUUUCUGGAUUAAUAAGCUCCAAACAACACCUUUGUUUCCUGGG
Molecule: long non-coding RNA, 447 nt
Filed under: Vulpes vulpes (red fox)
Lineage: Eukaryota; Metazoa; Chordata; Mammalia; Carnivora; Canidae
Description: lncRNA (ENSVVUG00000011345.1)
Source: RNAcentral